RNAcentral lists this small nuclear RNA (179 nucleotides) under Pelusios castaneus (West African mud turtle). Its description in RNAcentral is "U2 spliceosomal RNA (ENSPCEG00000009006.1)". It matches the Rfam family "U2 spliceosomal RNA". Rfam says of the family: U2 is a small nuclear RNA (snRNA) component of the spliceosome (involved in pre-mRNA splicing). The record is from Rfam by way of RNAcentral. Lineage: Eukaryota; Metazoa; Chordata; Testudines; Pelomedusidae.
AUAACAUUCACUCAAAGUAUUUUAAAUCUGUUCUUAUCAGUUUAAUAUCUGAUAUGUUUUCUAUAUGAGAACUUUAUAUUAAAUGGAUUUUUGAAAUAGGGAAAAGGAAUAGGAGCUUGCUUUAUCCUUUCUAUGCAUUGGCCUGGUAUUGCAGUGUUUCCAGGAACAGUGCACUUCCC